Regulatory RNA element from Brucella melitensis, 164 nucleotides. It matches the Rfam family "FMN riboswitch aptamer (RFN element)". From Rfam's summary of the family: The RFN element is a highly conserved domain that is found frequently in the 5'-untranslated regions of prokaryotic mRNAs that encode for flavin mononucleotide (FMN) biosynthesis and transport proteins. This element is a metabolite-dependent riboswitch that directly binds FMN in the absence of proteins. The record is from Rfam. Lineage: Bacteria; Pseudomonadati; Pseudomonadota; Alphaproteobacteria; Hyphomicrobiales; Brucellaceae.
GCUUGUUCUCGGGGCGGGGUGAAACUCCCCACCGGCGGUAUGAAAAGCAAUUUUCAAGCCCGCGAGCGCCUGAAAUGGAAGCCGAUUCGCAUGCCAUUUCAGGGUCAGCAGAUCCGGUGAGAUGCCGGAGCCGACGGUUAAAGUCCGGAUGGAAGAGAGCGAAU